This 84-nucleotide transfer RNA is filed under the name Felis catus (domestic cat). It matches the Rfam family "tRNA". Rfam says of the family: Transfer RNA (tRNA) molecules are approximately 80 nucleotides in length. The record is from Rfam by way of RNAcentral. Lineage: Eukaryota; Metazoa; Chordata; Mammalia; Carnivora; Felidae.
GCUCAGUUGGUUGAGCGUCCCAACUCUUGAUUUCGGCUCACGUCGCGAUCUCAUGGAUUGUGGGUUCAAGCCCCGCAUUGGGCU